GGGGGCGGGACUUAGCUAGAAUGUGGGAUACAUUGUAUGACAUCAUGAAGUAGUGCUGCUCCUGGUCUUAUUUAUUUAUUGUUCUACUCUGUUAGGAAUGUUCAAAUGUCUGUGGAUCAGGAAGCACAGGACGAUGAACUGCUGGCUCUAGCGAGUAUUUACGACGAAGAAGAGUUUCGCCGAGCCGAGUCGGGCCGAGAAGGAGAGAUCCAUCUGUGUCUGGAGCUUCCCCCUGACUUCAAGUUGCUGGUCAGCGGCGAGACAUGUGUGGAGUACCAGGUGUCGUUUCUGCCUCCUCUGGUUUUGAGUUUCGAGCUGCCCGUCAAUUAUCCUUCCUCAUCAGCACCGGUGUUUACACUAAGCUCCAAAUGGAUCUCUAGACUCCAGCUGACGUCUCUGUGUAGGCGUCUGGAUGAGUUAUGGGAGGAGUAUAAGGGGAGCGUGGUGCUCUUCACCUGGAUCCAGUUCCUCAAGGAGGAGGCUUUGGUCUUCCUGGGUCUGCAGUCUCCUCUGGAAAUCUUCAUCAAUAGCAGCAAGCACUCUCAGCUGGAACGCGGCAGAACUGACGGAGCUGCCAAGCGAGUCGAAAGCGCCGGUGCAGAGAAGAAGUCGUCGUCAGAGCUGGACCCUCGCGCUGUCCUGGAGGCCGAGCCGCAUGCUGACCUGCUGCGUCAGCUCCUGGACUUUGACGAGGCUCAGCGGCAGAAGGUCUUCGACAGCAAGGUGUUCUGCUGUGGGAUCUGCUUUUCUGAGAAGCUGGGCUCCGGCUGUGUGCUGUUUAAAGAGUGUCAGCAUGUUUACUGCAGGGCCUGCAUCAAGGAGUUCUUCCAGAUCCAGAUCCGAGACGGCAAAGUACAGUGCCUUACGUGUCCAGAGCCGAAGUGUACCUCCGUAGCCACACCUUCUCAGGUGAAACUGCUGGUUGGAGAGGAUGAGUUUGCACGCUAUGACCGCUUGCUGCUACAGAACAGUCUGGAUCUGAUGGCGGACAUUGUGUACUGCCCCCGCACUUCCUGUUGCAUGGCUGUGAUGCUGGAGCCCAACGCCACAAUGGGCCUGUGUCCAUCCUGCCGCUACGCCUUCUGCACGCUGUGCAAGCGUGCCUACCACGGCCUCUCACAUUGCCCACCCACCGUCCAGGAGCUCAGUAAUCUGCAGGAAGAGUACCUGGCUGGCUCUGAGGAGGAGAAGAAGUUCUUAGAGCAGCGUUUUGGGAAGCAGGUGAUCCAGCGUGCUAUAGAAGAGUCCUUCAGUAUGAAGUGGAUGGAAGAGAACUCGAAAAACUGCCCUCGCUGUGGCUGCCACAUUCAGGUCAGCUCCACUGAUGGAACUUUACAUACAAAGCAAAGUGCUAAUCUAUUCAGAAGAUACAAGGCUGCAACAAAAUGACCUGCUCCUCCUGUCAGCAGUUCUUCUGCUGGGUCUGUCUGGCUCCACUGUCCCGAGUGAAUCCCUACGGCCACUUCAACAAUCCCAGCAGCCCCUGCUUCAACCUAUUGUUCCAGGGUGUAGAACAUGAAGAAGAGGCUUGGAGUGAUGAAGACUAGUGAAAUGAGUUGAGUCCCACCACCUGGAAUGCAUUAAAACCUGCUCCCUGCUGUGUACAUCAGGUUUUUUUAUUCACUGUUUACAGGAAUUUAAUGGAAGAUGAUUCUGGUUAAGAGGAUGAAAAAAAGCUAACAAUCAAAAUGGAGUUGGUUAUUUGUUUAAAAUGAAGCAGGCAGAGGCGAUCCUGAUGAGUUUUUAAUUUACUGGCAUUUCCUAAAACCGUUCUUCACAUAACCUUCUCUGUGUGAAUGUUCAUUAUGUUCUGGAGUCAGGUUCAUAAAUAUUAAAGAACACUAAAGAUAUUAUGGAAUUUUCUUUUUCUGUUCAACAUGUUCUCUAUAUUCUGUACAAGUAUAUAUUUUUCUUUGAAACCAUAUAUACUGUAGAGCUUUAUUCCUGGUUGCCACAAUAAACACACGUGUAGACCGUAAUGAACUCUGACUUUGUU
Molecule: RNA transcript, 1996 nt
Organism: Hemibagrus wyckioides
Lineage: Eukaryota; Metazoa; Chordata; Actinopteri; Siluriformes; Bagridae
Gene: rnf14
Gene name: ring finger protein 14
Exons: 8
Source: RefSeq, a predicted model, not a curated record